Molecule: ribosomal RNA, 506 nt
Filed under: uncultured bacterium
Lineage: Bacteria
Description: partial 16S ribosomal RNA
Rfam family: Bacterial small subunit ribosomal RNA
Source: RNAcentral
AGUGAACGCUGGCGGUAGGCCUAACACAUGCAAGUCGAACGGCAGCACAGAGGAGCUUGCUCCUUGGGUGGCGAGUGGCGGACGGGUGAGGAAUACAUCGGAAUCUACUCUGUCGUGGGGGAUAACGUAGGGAAACUUACGCUAAUACCGCAUACGACCUACGGGUGAAAGCAGGGGACCUUCGGGCCUUGCGCGAUUGAAUGAGCCGAUGUCGGAUUAGCAAGUUGGCGGGGUAAAGGCCCACCAAGGCGACGAUCCGUAGCUGGGCUGAGAGGAAGAUCAGCCCCACUGGAACUGAGACACGAUCCAAGCACCUACGGGAGGCAGCAGUGGGGAAUAUUGGACAAUGGGCGCAAGCCUGAUCCAGCCAUACCGCGUGAGUGAAGAAGGCCUUCGAGUUGUAAAGCCCUUUUGUUGUGAAAGAAAUCCAGCUGGCUAAUACCCGGUUGGGAUGACGGUACCCAAAGAAUAAGCACCGGCUAACUUCGUGCCAGCAGCCGCAGUAA